Molecule: long non-coding RNA, 367 nt
Filed under: Manacus vitellinus (golden-collared manakin)
Lineage: Eukaryota; Metazoa; Chordata; Aves; Passeriformes; Pipridae
Description: lncRNA (ENSMVIG00005004682.1)
Source: RNAcentral
GGGAGCACAGCGGAGGGAGCCCCGGGCCUCCCCCCAGGACUUAAGGAAAUACUGAUACUGCCGGGGCGAGGAAGGAGAGUCCGCCCGGGAUAUCCCCCGCCUCCGCCGGCCCAGGCCCAGGGGGAACAGAGAGAGAGACAGCGAGAGACAAAGGGGGAGCGGGGCCGCCAGACUUUCCAGCCGCAUCAGAGGAGCGGGAGCGACUCACCCUUGACUCCCGGCAAGAAUGCGCGUUGGACUAAAGAAUCAAGCACAGUCCUUCUUCUCCAUUAUAAAAGCAUGUGAGCUGAAAAAAGACCCAUAAGCAGCAGUGAGAAUGGUUGGACUAAGAAGAAGAAUAAAAAAGGGAUAAAGCAGCCUGCUUACA